This 1054-nucleotide long non-coding RNA is filed under the name Bemisia tabaci. RNAcentral describes it as "lncRNA ENSSSA3NGG000657". The record is from RNAcentral. Lineage: Eukaryota; Metazoa; Arthropoda; Insecta; Hemiptera; Aleyrodidae.
AGACUUAAUUCCAGGCAUGUAGUUUCCAGUUUAAAACACACCAAGUCAUGUUUUUCCUACAGGAAACCUAGAAUUAAUCAUCAAUUAGUCGCGCAACAAUGACUGCUCAACAGUGCACCCAGCCAUCUCUAAACCAGUUCCGAAGAAAGAUGGUGUCAGAGAUAAAUCAGAUAGAAGUCAUGAUCGGAAAUCAAAGAAAAGAUCCUGGCGUCCACCAAGACUGAAGAACAUUGAUCGAAGUUCUGCUCAAACUAGAGAAGUAACCGUCAACAAUGUAACUGUUGUGAUAACAGAGUAUAAAGCAAAGGCAAAGAAAACCAUCUCAGACCAAUCAAGCUCUGCCUCGUCAGAAACAGGAAGUAACUCUGAAUAUAGUCUAGAUAUGAAAAGUGCUGAUAUAGAUUCUAGAAGCUCAUAAUUACCUCUUAUGCUCAACCUUUCUUUUCGACCAAUUAUGUAAAGGUUACUCAGCAGUCAAGACAGAGAAUCACAGUGGGCAAACUUUCUUCAUAUUACCUUCCUGUGCAGGCUGGUGGCUGUAUUUAACAGUCUUUGCCUAAUUACAAAGCAAAAAUAAUCGACUAAUAACCGUAAAUUAUUUGACAACUAAAUUGUCAUAGUACCAGUAAAAAGUAAGAAAAAAAAGUGAAUUCAGUAAUCCUAUUAUCAUAAUAUAAGUAAAAACUCUUCUGAUGUUUUUGUUAAUUAUUAUAUAAAGAUCUGCAUGAGUGUAAUGUAUUUCGUUAGUUUUAACAUGAAAGUUGAAUAUCUUGUUUUAUUUUAAAAUUAUUGAGUACUUUAUCUUGAUCUCAACAGUAUUAAAACAUGUAAACAUGCCAACUGCAUCAAGCUGUAAAGUAAUACAUCUUUAUUUGGCCUCUUCUCAUUUGAUCUUUUUAUGUUUGAUUUUUAAAAGACAGGGACAGAAUUUUCAACUCUACUCAAAAUCUGUAGAAAAAGAAAGAAGAGGUAAAUAACGGAGGUAAUCUAGAAUAAAAAAUUGAAAAAUAUAUUGACGUACCAAUGAUUAAGGGAGAAUGAGGCGGUAGCAAGG